GGGCUCAUAGUAUAACGGUAACACACGUCCAUGGCAUGGAUGAGUUCGGGGUUCGAUUCCCCGUGAGUCCACAA
RNAcentral lists this transfer RNA (74 nucleotides) under bacterium. RNAcentral describes it as "tRNA-Ala". It matches the Rfam family "tRNA". Rfam says of the family: Transfer RNA (tRNA) molecules are approximately 80 nucleotides in length. Their secondary structure includes four short double-helical elements and three loops (D, anti-codon, and T loops). The record is from RNAcentral.